UGACAAAUUUGCUACUAUCUC
RNAcentral lists this non-coding RNA (21 nucleotides) under Rattus norvegicus (Norway rat). The record is from RNAcentral. Lineage: Eukaryota; Metazoa; Chordata; Mammalia; Rodentia; Muridae.